UUUUUCCAGCACUGUCCAUCUGGUGUAUCUCAUAACACAGUGUUAAUAUAUCUAAAUGUGUAGAAGACCAGAAACAAAAACGGCAGCUUCAGGGAAUGCAAUAAUGAAACUGUUUCACCAGUUUUGUUCUGCUGGAGACAGUUGGAUUACAAUAGAUGUCUGAUGGCCAGGGCACAGCAGUGCCAAAGAAGAGAAAUAGAUAAGGAAAAUACAUAGACUGAGAACAAUGUUUAGAAAUGUUGAUGCUUAGUUCAAUAGAUUAAAGCUGAAGAAGGAAUGGAGUUAAAGGACUAUGGAGAACUCCUUUAAAAAUGUGUUAAUUUAAAAAUGUAUUAUCUUUGCAAGCAAUUUUUGGGAGGGGCUUCUUGUGCAUAAGUACUACAUUUCUUGUAAAACAGUAUGAGUGCCAAAGUGAGAUUUGUGUUUGGACUUUUAGCAGGGGGUUGGACUGGUUUAUCUCCAGUGGUCCCUCCUACCCCCUAUGGUUCUGUGAUUCCUACUUCAGAUGCUGAACAUGCUAAUUGCUAAUGCUCUUUCCCUUUCUUGUUCCUUAUUGGAACUUGUAGAGUACCAGUCCCCAACAUGUGAUUUGUGAAGAAUUUGUUGACUCCAAAACUUGUGAAACUGUUCAAACUCAAAGCAAACUGAAGUACUGAAACUGAGGGAAAUGUGGGAGUGCUGCCGGAUGUUCCCACAGUGUGUUAUUGUGGUCUUCACAGCUGCCAGUGAAGAGGACUGUUGGUGCAAAAAUGCUAAGCUCUCUCCUCGCGCUACAUUGCAAAGCAGUAUGGCACUGCCAGAAGCCAGUCAGAGUUGAUGCUUGGCCUUGUGACAAGGAGAAGAGACAGCAACCAGGAAGCCAUGUUAUUAAAUUGAAAUACUGGAUGAGAGGAAAGUUCUGCCAAGAGACAAUCAAAUUGAAGAUAGACAGAAUGCCUUGGGGACUCUAUAAUGCAGACAUAAAUGCAAAGGUUGUAAAAAAAAAAUAAUAAUAUAUAUAUACAGUGUGUUAUUAAAAAAAAAAAAGGCAUUAAGUGGUAAAGCAGAGUACUCUGCUUUUGUAAUUAAUGAAGUAGAAAUGUAUGUAAAAAUGGAGAAAAUUACACAAGUCCAUUACUCAGUGUUAGUUCAUGAAUGUAAAGCAUCUAGUAGAUUCGACUAUAGAGGGAUCUUUAUGGUACAAUUUACUUUUCAAAACUCAUUCUGUUUUAUUUUGAUAAAUAUUCUUGGUAUGCGAACACACUUCUGUUUUUCCAGAAACCUUC
RNAcentral lists this long non-coding RNA (1265 nucleotides) under Phasianus colchicus (ring-necked pheasant). Its description in RNAcentral is "lncRNA (ENSPCLG00000011378.1)". The record is from RNAcentral. Lineage: Eukaryota; Metazoa; Chordata; Aves; Galliformes; Phasianidae.